This 571-nucleotide ribosomal RNA is filed under the name uncultured archaeon. RNAcentral's name for it is "partial 16S ribosomal RNA". It matches the Rfam family "Archaeal small subunit ribosomal RNA", at positions 75 to 646 of the family's 1478-position model. The record is from RNAcentral.
AUCGCAGCGGAAGCUCAGUAACNNNNNNNNNNNCUACCCUGCAGAGGAGCAUAAUCUCGGGAAACUGAGGCUAAUACUCCAUACCGCACUCACGUUGGAAUACCGAGUGCCACAAACGCUCCGGCGCUGCAGGAUGUGGCUGCGGCCGAUUAGGUAGACGGUGGGGUAACGGCCCACCGUGCCGAUAAUCGGUACGGGUUGUGAGAGCAAGAGCCCGGAGACGGAAUCUGAGACAAGAUUCCGGGCCCCACGGGGCGCAGCAGGCGCGAAACCUUUACACUGCACGACAGUGCGAUAAGGGGACCCCAAGUGCGAGGGCAUACAGUCCUCGCUUUUGUGUACCGUAAGGUGGUACACGAAUAAGGGCUGGGCAAGACCGGUGCCAGCCGCCGCGGUAAUACCGGCAGCUCAAGUGAUGACCGAUUUUAUUGGGCCUAAAGCGUCCGUAGCUGGCCAUGCANGUUCGUCGGGAAAUCCAUCCGCUCAACGGANGGGCGUCCGGCGAAAACCGCAUGGCUCGGGACCGGAAGGCUCGAGGGGUACNUCCGGGGUAGGAGUGAAAUCCCNUAAU